UCUUAGUUGCAGGUCAUUCUAGCUGUGGGAUGUGGGACGCCACCUCAACGUGGCCUGACGAGCAGUGCCAUGUUUGUGCCCAGGAUCCGAACCCUGGGACGCUGCAGCAGAGUGUGCGAACUUAACCACUCGACCACGGAGCCAGCCCCCGGACAGAAUUUUCUUGAAACAACCAGGAUUGCAUUCUCAGAAAGAGGGUUCACCCGGAAUCCAGAGAGAGGCUCCAGCUGUGAACAAGAGCUCAUCCCCUCUCCUGUGUGGAGGC
This 265-nucleotide long non-coding RNA is filed under the name Equus caballus (horse). RNAcentral describes it as "lncRNA (ENSECAG00000054013.1)". Lineage: Eukaryota; Metazoa; Chordata; Mammalia; Perissodactyla; Equidae. The record is from RNAcentral.